UGAACGCUGGCGGCGUGCUUAACACAUGCAAGUCGAACGAUGAAGCCUAGCUUGCUAGGUGGAUUAGUGGCGCACGGGUGAGUAAUAUAUAGAUAAUGUGCCUCUUAGUCUGGGAUAGCCAUUGGAAACGAUGAUUAAUACUAGAUACUCCUUCUAACCAUAUGGUUAGUCGGGAAAGUUUUUCGCUAAGAGAUCAGUCUAUAUCGCAUCAGUUAGUUGGUAGGGUAAUGGCCUACCAAGACAAUGACGCGUAGCGGGUUUGAGAGGAUGAUCCGCCACACUGGUACUGAGACACGGACCAGACUCCUACGGGAGGCAGCAGUGAGGAAUAUUGCACAAUGGGGGAAACCCUGAUGCAGCAACGCCGCGUGGAGGAUGACGCAUUUCGGUGUGUAAACUCCUUUUAUGAGUCAAGAAAAUGACGGUAGCUCAUGAAUAAGCACCGGCUAACUCC
Molecule: ribosomal RNA, 454 nt
Filed under: uncultured bacterium
Lineage: Bacteria
Description: bacterial SSU rRNA
Rfam family: Bacterial small subunit ribosomal RNA
Source: RNAcentral